UGCUAGUCGUGCGCUUCAGCCAAAACGAGGCGCGGCAUACAGCUCAGUAACACGUGGCUAAUCUGCCCUUGGGACGAGAACAACCCCGGGAAACUGGGGCUAAUUCUCGAUAGGUGAAGAACUCUGGAAUGAGUCUUCGCUUAAAAAGCUUCACGUUAUGCUCGUGAAGUCGCCCAAGGAUGAGGCCGCGACCGAUCAGGUUGUUGGUGAGGUAAUGGCUCACCAAGCCUUUUACCGGUGCGGGCCGUGAGAGCGGGAGCCCGGAGAUGGGCACUGAGACAAGGGCCCAGGCCCUACGGGGCGCAGCAGUCGCGAAAACUUUGCAAUACACGAAAGUGUGACAGGGCUAUCCCGAGUGCCAUCCGCUGAGGAAGGCUUUUACCCAGUAUAGAUCGCUGGGGGAAUAAGGAGAGGGCAAGUCUGGUGUCAGCCGCCGCGGUAAUACCAGCUCUCCGAGUGGUGUGGAUGUUUAUUGGGCCUAAAGCAUCCGUAGCUGGCUAAGUUAGUCCCUUGUUAAAUCCACCGAAUUAAUCGUUGGAUUGCGGGGGAUACUGCUUGGCUAGGGGACGAGAGAGGCAGACGGUAUUUCCGGGGUAGGGGUGAAAUCCUAUAAUCCCGGGAAGACCACCAGUGGCGAAGGCUGUCUGCUAGAACGCGCCCGACGGUGAGGGAUGAAAGCUGGGGGAGCGAACCGGAUUAGAUACCCGGGUAGUCCCAGCUGUAAACGAUGCAGCUAGGUGUUUGGACGGCCACGUGCCGUUCUAGUGCCGCAGGGAAGCUGUUAAGCCUGCCGCCUGGGGAGUACGAUCGCAAGAUUGAAACUUAG
This 826-nucleotide ribosomal RNA is filed under the name uncultured crenarchaeote. RNAcentral describes it as "bacterial SSU rRNA". It matches the Rfam family "Archaeal small subunit ribosomal RNA", at positions 52 to 859 of the family's 1478-position model. The record is from RNAcentral. Lineage: Archaea; Thermoproteati; Thermoproteota.